Long non-coding RNA from Octopus sinensis (East Asian common octopus), 153 nucleotides. RefSeq lists it as uncharacterized. Lineage: Eukaryota; Metazoa; Mollusca; Cephalopoda; Octopoda; Octopodidae. The transcript is spliced from 4 exons. The record is from RefSeq and is a predicted model, not a curated record.
UGUGUGUGUGUGUGUGUGUGUGUGUGUACAAGUGAGUUGGACAAAUGAAAGAAGGGUAUUCAGCCAAUUUAUUGAGAGUUACAUGUGUGGAUCAAAACAGUUUGACUCAAAUUCGUUGGUACUCUUGAGUUUCAAGUGUGAUGCUAGUCAUCA